GACAGAGGGUGCAAACGUUGCUCGGAAUCACUGGGCGUAAAGGGCGUGUAGGCGGGUAGAUAAGUCGGGCGUGAAAUCCCUAGGCUCAACCUAGGAACUGCACUCGAAACUGUUUAUCUUGAGUGCCGGAGAGGAAAGCGGAAUUCCUGGUGUAGAGGUGAAAUUCGUAGAUAUCAAGCAGAACACCUGCGGCGAAGGGCG
RNAcentral lists this ribosomal RNA (201 nucleotides) under uncultured bacterium. RNAcentral describes it as "partial 16S ribosomal RNA". It matches the Rfam family "Bacterial small subunit ribosomal RNA", at positions 524 to 724 of the family's 1533-position model. The record is from RNAcentral.